RNAcentral lists this ribosomal RNA (465 nucleotides) under Vreelandella stevensii. Its description in RNAcentral is "partial 16S ribosomal RNA". It matches the Rfam family "Bacterial small subunit ribosomal RNA", at positions 338 to 795 of the family's 1533-position model. Lineage: Bacteria; Pseudomonadati; Pseudomonadota; Gammaproteobacteria; Oceanospirillales; Halomonadaceae. The record is from RNAcentral.
CCUACGGGGGGCAGCAGUGGGGAAUAUUGGACAAUGGGGGGAACCCUGAUCCAGCCAUGCCGCGUGGGUGAAGAAGGCCCUCGGGUUGUAAAGCACUUUCAGUGAGGAAGAACGCCUGGUGGUUAAUACCCAUCAGGAAAGACAUCACUCACAGAAGAAGCACCGGCUAACUCCGUGCCAGCAGCCGCGGUAAUACGGAGGGUGCGAGCGUUAAUCGGAAUUACUGGGCGUAAAGCGCGCGUAGGUGGCUUGAUAAGCCGGUUGUGAAAGCCCCGGGCUCAACCUGGGAACGGCAUCCGGAACUGUCAAGCUAGAGUGCAGGAGAGGAAGGUAGAAUUCCCGGUGUAGCGGUGAAAUGCGUAGAGAUCGGGAGGAAUACCAGUGGCGAAGGCGGCCUUCUGGACUGACACUGACACUGAGGUGCGAAAGCGUGGGUAGCAAACAGGAUUAGAUACCCCAGUAGUC